UGUGUUGCUUACCCGCGGAAAGGAAUUCGAUGGUUUUGGUGUCCCYAUCCGCCUUGUGCCCUUCGGGGUGCGGGGUGGACGCGAGGCGGGCUCCGUGUUCCCCGCGCGUUGAGUGUGUUGACACUUGACCGCUGUGGCCCAUGGGGUCUCGACCCGUGCUCUCGGAUGCGGAAUGUUGUGUGUGGGCGUGGGGUCUCGGCCUCUACUCGUCCAAGCUACACGCAUUGUCCCUUAACAUGAACGACCGUCGCGCCCGUCUUGAUCGACUGACCGAGCCCCUAUUGUGGGUUUUYGGGAUGGCGGCUCAUGCGGGUGUCGGCGUCGGAGAGGAAUGC
RNAcentral lists this unclassified non-coding RNA (335 nucleotides) under Zanthoxylum bungeanum. RNAcentral describes it as "partial external transcribed spacer". Lineage: Eukaryota; Viridiplantae; Streptophyta; Magnoliopsida; Sapindales; Rutaceae. The record is from RNAcentral.